This 9158-nucleotide long non-coding RNA is filed under the name Sus scrofa (pig). RNAcentral describes it as "lncRNA (ENSSSCG00030045404.1)". Lineage: Eukaryota; Metazoa; Chordata; Mammalia; Artiodactyla; Suidae. The record is from RNAcentral.
GAGGAGGCGGGCGGGCCAGUGAGGAGAGCGGAGAGAAAAGGCGCGAGCGGCCGAGAGGGCACGGGCCGGACACCUUGCUGCUGCCGCCGGCGCCGCCGCUGCGGCCGAGCCUCCCCUGAGCUUACUGAUCCAUCUCCAGGGCCACCGCCAUGUCCAGCCGGGGUGGGAAGAAGAAGUCCACCAAAACCUCCCGGUCCGCCAAGGCGGGCGUCAUCUUCCCCGUGGGCCGGAUGCUGCGGUACAUCAAGAAAGGCCACCCCAAGUACAGGAUUGGAGUGGGGGCGCCGGUGUACAUGGCCGCCGUCCUGGAGUACCUGACAGGUGAGUGCGCCUGCGUCACCGCGGACACCUCAGCUUGCCAGGAAUUGGUAGGAUCUUGUUGGUUUCCUUUGUUUUGAAAAUUUCCAAACCCAUGGAAGAGUUACCAAUACAGCGACAUUUUGCCCCAGAUUCAUCAGUUGUUAACAUUUUGCCUCGUUUGCUGUAUCUCCCUCCACCCUGUGUGUGGUGUGCACACAAGUGCACAUUUAUUUUUGGCUAUUGUCUCUUAUAUAGUCUGUUUGGAAAUUUCCUCAGUUGUCCCAAUAAUGUCCUUUAUGGUUUUGUUCCAUUUCUUUCUCAGUCCAGGAUUCAUUUCAGGAUCAUACAUGCAUUUGUCCCUCAGAUUUCUUUAGAUUUCUUUAAUCUAAAGCAUUUCUCCACCUUUUUUUUUUUUUUUUAAGUCUUUGAUGACUUGGACAUUUUGGAGAGCCCAGGUCAGUUGUUUUGCAGAACGCCCUUUAAUCUGGAUUGGUCUUAUGCUUGGGUUCAGGUUAAACGUUUUGAUCCGAGAAUUCCACAGCGGUGUUGGGUCCUUGUCUGGCGUCAUGUCAGGAGGCACCUGCUGUGGGUUUGUCCUGUCACUGGUGAUCUUUGCUCUGGUCCUGUGGUUAAAGUGGUGGCUGUGAGUCUUGCACAUCCUGGAUCACAGUCUUUUAUCCAGUGGCUUCGGUAUUGCCUGCUGAUCUUACUUGGUUCUCUUAGCACUGUGGUGAUUAUUAAAUAGGGUUUCCUUUUAUUAUUUCUACGUUUUUUGUUUCUUUUUCUUUUCUUUUUUUUCCUUGUCUUUUUACCUUUUCUAGGACCGCUUCCCAUGGCUUAUGGAGGUUCCCAGGCUAGGGGUCUAAGCGGAGCUGUAGCUGUCAGCCUCCGCUAGAGCCACAGCAAUGUGGGAUCCAAGCCGCAUCUGCGACCUACACCAUAGCUCACGGCAAUGCUGGAUCCUUAAUCCACUUAGCGAGGCCAGGGAUCGAACCUGCAACCUCAUGGUUCCUAGUUGGAUUCGUUAACCACUGCGCCACCACGGGAACUCUGUUUCUACGUUUAUUAGUUGGUAUUCUUCUGUUAAGAAGAGCUUUCCUCCUGCCCGUCCUGUUAUUUUUGGGACUGUCACUGUUGGUUCAUGGAUUUUUUAAAAAAUUAAGUGGGUCAUGCACUCUCCUGUCAUUACUCCUUAUGAUGCUCACAUUGUCUCACGUUUGACCUUCAAGCUGGUUUGUCUGUCCUUUUGCCGUCUCUCCGUCAGCUGCUGCUCCAUCCCUUUCCUUGUUUUCCGACACAGUGAGAUAUUCUCAUCUCCCCCUGCCCAAGUUUUGGAAUCAGCCUUCUCUGCAGGGGAAUCUUUGGGACCUUUCCCAGAUAUUGGUCUUAUUGGUGGCUGCAUAGCAACUGUGGGAGGCCAAACCCCCCUGCCCCCCAUUCUUAGAGAAGACGAGCCAAGGGCAUGGAAAGAUUUGCCUCGGGUCACAUCUAGCCAGGAAGGACCUGAGAAGGGGCGCACAUCCUGCUGUCCUGUUGUAAUGCCUUUACCGCUUUUCACUCCGUGCUCAGGGUAGGGGGCAGGCCGGGACAGCUGGCUCUCUGGCAACAAGGAGGAGAGACUCAGCAUCACAGGAUCCCUCUUCCAAAGGGAAGUGGUCCGGCAGCAGAAGAGCUGAGUCGCUGCUUGUUCUCCCAGGUUCUUUCCGGAAGACCCGGAUUUCCCCCACAGAGAACCCAGCCAUGACCCAGGGUUGUAACGUUUUUGUGUCCUGUCGAAAGCGUCCAGGCACCAGAAGUAACUGGGGUUAUGGUUUGUGAGGCCUCGACGCAUAUUUGGAACCUUGACUCUCUGCUGGUCAGAGACUCUUAGAGGAGGCGUGCCCAGAAGCGUGGGCUGGCCUGAUUCUCCUCACGCUGCAGAUGGGAGACAGAGGCCUGGGAUUUCCUUGGCAUCACCCGGAAAACCGUGUGUGACCCUGCCCGUCAGCCAGGGGGACCAGGGGAGAAGUCAUGAGGAUGGAGGACAUUUUUUAGGUCUGGGCUGGCAGUUUACAUGCUGUGUGACCCAGCACGAGUCACUUAACCUCUCUGGACCCCAGUUUCCUUACAGCUCACAUGGAGACAACGGUGCCCGCUCCACCAGCUCCAGGCCACUGUGAGAGCAGAAGGGCUUUGUUUGAGCAUAAUGGGGAAGCUGCCGCGAUGUGCAAACCCAGCCAGCCGCGGUUUCUGGUUCCCGAGUGUUGCGGUGGUCGUGGCACUGGGGUGACGCCGGGGUGUUCAUGGACACGUUCACGAGGUCAAGUACAGCAACAGUUGCACUUCUUCCCUCAAGCCUCCUCUUUUUAGUUUGCAGGAUGUAGGGUGGGGGAUGCCGCUGCCCCAUCGUGUCUGAAGCAGCUACUUCCUGUGCUGGACGAAAAAUCUGUACGUGUGCCUUGUCUGUGCCCAACUGGCUCUGAAACUGAACACAGCAGUUCAGGUCAGCGGGUCUGUUCGUGGCGCCAGGCACCUUGACCCUGCACCCCACCCACCAUGCCACCCUCGCCCCCUCCCCCCCGCCGUCUUGGGUGCACUGGUGAUCCCAGAGGCCGUGGGAGGGGUCAAGGCAGCCCAGCACUGGAGCUGGACAAGUCGCUUGAGGCAAAUCCUUACUCCGCUGGCGUUAGCCGUGUUUACCCCUGUGUGGUGAAGAGUCAUCUGUAUUUUAAAGCUUUACCAAGUCCUUGCGGCAGAGCUAGAGUUAGUGAAUUGGAGCCAUUUCCUCUGCUUACACACGGUGCUAAGUCAUUGACAUGCCUGUUGCCCGGUGCCUGGUCCCGCAGGAUGGGCCUUGGGGGAUCACUGCUCUGGUCACUUGUGUCCUGUUGCCUGAUGGGACGGGAGGUGAGCCCUGGGCCAUGUCCGAGGAAAGCACUGUCGCGUUGCCCCGUCAGAGCAGGGCUGCACGCCUGCGCCGGCUGCGCCUGGCAGCGAUGUGCCUGAGCCCCUUGGGCCGGGAUGUGGGAGCACGUGGAUAGUGGGAAGUCCUGGGCGUCUGCCUGCGAGAAGUCAAGGGGGACAGGCUUUCUUUCUGCUAUUUGCUUUUGUUUCACUGAAGACGCUAUUCCACGUGCUUACCAAGCCCCCGCUUGGUAGGGCCCCGCUUGGUAAGACCCCGCUGUGGUCCGGCCCCUUGCCGGCCUCUGUAGGAGAGCAUAGGAAUGGUGGGGGCAGAAAUGGUCUCUGCUCCAUGGAGCUCACGGUAGGUAGCUGGGGAGAAAGAACCAACCAGCCCAGGUGGUUACUGACUCUGCUGAGACACCACAGGGGCCCCGGAGGGCUUCUUUGAUGAGGAGACCGUGCCGACCAGCCCUGCGAGGGCUGGUCAAGGGGCUCGUCCAGCCACUCACCUGCGUGCCACGCACCUCUUGCUUCUUCCUAGAGCUUGGAGAAGAUCUGGGAAGAGGGAGCAGCCAGGGGAGCAGCCCUCACUCAGCUUAGGGCCCAGACAUCGUGCUUGAACGCAGGGCAUCUGCGGGCAGUACCACCCAUUCAGCAGGUCCUCAUUGAGAGCUGCAGCGUGUCCAGCAUGGGGAUACCAGCCAGCGCAUGACCUCUCCCCAGCCCAGAGAGCUUGUCCAGAAACAGGCAUAGGCAAGAAAAAGGCCGUGAUGGUGCAGGACUGCAUGUGCUGAGACUGGGUCUUCUCAGAAAAUGGUCCCUGGUGGAUGCUUGUUAACCGCUUCCCUAGAGCCACCUUGCUUUUCCAGUUGUCACUUGAAGGGCCCUGCAGAGGCCUUGUUUUCUUCCCUCACACGUGGCACACACAUUUGCAGGCCUGGUCGUGGGAUGACACACGACGUUCUUUUGGAGUGGCUGGGCCAGGCCUCCUCCUGGCAGAAGGCCCCAGGCGGGUGAUGAGGAGGGAUCCGGACAUUCAAGCGCUGCUGAGCUGCAGGGCCCACCUAGGACUAGGCAGCUCUGGAGCGGGGAGCUGACGCCUCCUUGGUGGGCAGUCCUGGGGACCACUUGGGGCCCAGGAUGCUCAGUGGAAGUCAGGUGGAGGCAGCAGAACUGGGUAGUAAGAGUGUGGACCUGGUGUCACAGCUGCUGUUUCUUCCUCGUGGCCUUAGACAAGUCACAUCUCCAGGCUGCAGUGUUAUCAUCUGUGAGAUGGGGUGCCAGUAACUGUGUGCUAGGGUUAUGAUGAGGUUGACACGAGAGGCUGCGUGUGAGGGCUUUUCCAUGCCUGCAGCAGUGUAGGUGCCCAAAUGCUAGCUGUUAACCUCGGGUGAAAGCAGAGCGGGAGUUCCUAGGAACCCUGCUUGGCUGUGAGGUGGUGGGGGUCGCCCCCUUCCCUUAGGGUGGGGAUGGGAGCUGUCACUGCCCGCUCAUGCCUCUUGUCCUUUCAGUUGGUCACAACCCCCUGGGCCUCACUAGGCACCUACAGAAAUGGCUCUUUCAGGCCCACGCCCUCUGGUUUAUUCAGACUGCCGUUUGACUCCCCCUAAAGCUUGUAUCACCCUCAACACCAAGACGCCAUGUUACCAGAUGCUUCUGUCUGGUGUCACAGGCAGCUUCGGUCCUGAGCUCCUGGCACAUGCGUGAAAACCUUGAAGGUUUUUUUGGUUGGCUAGUGACUGAGCAUGCCGAGGCCCGGGCCUGUGUUGGGCCAGGGCUGAGGUCUGUCCAGCACGAGAACAUCUGGACAGGCAGCUGCCCUGCAGACCAGGGGCCGUCAGAGCCCAGAUAGACGAUCCCCUGUGAAGAAUAUGCCUUUGGCGGGGAGGGACCACGCACGUACCCCUCCCCAGGGGCUGUUCGAGGCUGGGGAGGACGGGGGAGGGCAUGGUGGCCUCGCAUCCUGCUCUGAAGCUUGAAACUGGCAUCUGUUUCUCCUCUUGGGUGCAGAGCCCAAUUGCUGCUGAACUUGAAGGGAAAAGGCAACAUCUGGAGUAGGCUUGAGUCUGGCGAGCAGGCAGCUCCUUCCCCACAUCUCCGUGCACCUGCUGCCUCUUUAUGGAAUUCCUCCUGAGGAAUGUGGUGCUGUCCUCUGGUCUUCUCAGAGCCCCAGGACCCUGGGGCCUGACUCUCUGCUCCACCCCUUGGCCCUUGACCUUCCAGCCUAGGCAGUGACAGCAGCACGGCCUCUUGGGAUUGCUGUGAAGUGUGAUACUGUACCUGGUGACUUUAGCCAGCACUCCUAGUAAGCACGCAAUCAGUGAUGGAUAAAAAUAGAUAUUAUUGUGGAGGAAACUGAGGUAGUUUCUUUGAGGCAUCAUCUUUGCCCCCAUAUUACUCUGGUACUUUUUCCUUAAAUGGUAUGUAAUGGGAACUUGAGUUCAGCUCCGAAAGCCUCUGGGGAGUCUCUGCCCUGUGCCCAGCCCAGCACUGCUUGGUGCUAGAAGAUGUAAGAGACGUGAAAUAAGGAAAAUGUGUUAUGGCUUUUGCCCCAGUGGAAUAUCCAUUGAUGUUGGGGACACACAAGCCCUCAGCCCAGUAAGGUGGCAGGGCAGGUCUAAGGGACAGGUUCCAAGCACUCAGGCCGUCCGAUGUCCCCAAAUGAGAGGCGUGUGGAAGAGCAGAGAGCAAGCGCGCUGUGAUCCGAUGGGUGCAGAGUGUUGGGGUCAGCCUUGCGCACCUUGUGCUCAGCAGAACCGCAGUGUCUGGUGAAGUUUAAGAGGCAGACCACCAAAACAGGGCUCAGGGGCUGAGGCUGGAUUACGGCUAGAGUCCCUUCCCGCUUCUGAGGUGGACAGAGGAAUAACUUUGUUGAGUGCCUCAGUAAAGCCACUUGCUUUAGUUUGGGAACCAUCGAGCCACAGCUUUUUCCUGCAGGACUUUUCAGAGCCUUUAACAUACUCGUGUCUUCCUAAGUCCCCCAGGGAAGGAACUGUGAUGGGUAGUGGUUGCCCACCUUUUAUCAGAAAGCCUUUCAAGGAGCACCUGUCAACACCCCGCACAAGAUAGUGUGGGGAUACGUGUGGCUUAGGCCGCGAGAAGCGGCACUGGGGCAGUGCCAAGUGAAGCAGCAAAGCGGAGGCCACCACGAACGGCGCUCUCCGGUCUGGCGCAGGGCGUGGAGGCGGGGGCUUGGCCGGUAACGAUGGAGGCCUGGCUCUGCUCUCUGCGUACAGGGCCAACACAUUAGAAGGUGCUCCAGCACUCGAGCAGUGAGGCUGUGGCUCGGGAAAGCCGCGGGCUUCUUCGGAGCCAAGCCACUCACGCGCUGCCUCAGGAAGCGCGCACCACUCUCCAGGUCCGUGCUCCUCCCUGGAACGCCGGACAGAGCUUCCUGCCCACGGGGCUCACCCGGGAGGGAAGAGCCUUUGGAGCCACUCACCCAACCCCGGAGAGAACAGGCCUGGUUCCUGGCCAUCGCAUCCAAAAAGGGCUCUGACACCUUUUUCUUUUUUUGGUCCAGAAACCCUGUUUCAUAGCUUGAUCACACGCCUCAUCCUGCCAGCUGGCCUCCUAGGAUAGAAGCCUGUUUGCAGAAAUCUAACCCCGUUCUCAGAGGAUUCCUCCGCAGUGAGGGGUGUGGGAAGCCCUGGCUGCCAGCUCUGCAGGCUGAGUGUUGAUGCCUUGGAACCAGUGUAGACCCUCCCGAGGUGGCCGCCGUGAGCGGUCUGAAGUGCACACGCAAGCUCUGGUCUGGCUGCAGUAUUAGGUUUCCACCGCUUCCAGGAUAAGGCCGUGGCUCGAAUCAUUUUUUUCUGUCUUCUCUGGAUCUGAUAUAUGAAAUAAUGAAGAUGUUUAUCCCGGUUUUCGUAUCCUUAACCCCCACUUCUUUUCCGGAUGCUCAAGCCCUCUCCCUCCUCAUCCCCGUCCGUGUUUGACACCUAGGCCUUCCCUCUCCUGCCUCUUCUCAGUGACCAGGACCUCCCUCCGCAGUCCUCUAAAGGCCCCUGGCAUCCCCUCGCAGCAGGAGCUCUACCCGAAGCUGCCUGCGGGUAUUUCACUAACCACGGUGAAGUUUGCAGGGCCAGCUCCUGGCCUGGGGAACAGACAGGGACCACCUAGGGGACCGUUACGGGCUCACACUGUACAGAUGGAUGAGGCCCCACCCUUGCGUCCGACGCAGCCUGUCGUAGAACCCCAGGGAAAGGGACGGCUGUGAAACAUGCCCUGCCACCUGAUUUUCGCUGCUAAGAGGAUCGUCUUGUUUGGCUUCUGCUCUGUAGCUCAGGUUGGACGUUGCAUAUCCCCUUGGGGUGAGUUACUGGCUGCCCUCCACUCCCACCCUGUGUCUUGCAAGUGUCGUAUGUGAAGGCCGUCUCUGUCAGCACUAGGUCCUCUUGCACGGAUGCUCAUUCCAAUAAACAGCCAUCACCCUGGGCAUUUCUGGCCUGGGAAAGAAAGGCCCCGAUGAGCUGGGAAGAUUAGGGUGGACAGAGCCUGCCUUUGGCUGUGUCACUUCCCUGGCGUCUUUACUGCUUUCCUGUCUGGGACACCCAAGUGUGUCCUGGGCUCAUGCAGCUCAAAAUAGGGCAGGAAGCGGAGGACAGACCGGCUCUGUGGUGCUCCGAGGCCCUCUGAGUGCCUACGUCUCUUGCUCAUUUGUGCGACCACCCUACCGGGGACUGGCGUGACCGGCUGGGACCCAGCUAACUCCUGCCAGGGACUUCAUGCUUCCCUUGGGCUCUCAGGACCGCUCAGUGCUCACAGUUCUGCAAAGCCCUUCACCAGCUGGAAGGGAGGACACGAUGUUAAUGAACCUGAGGGAAGUUGGAAGCACUCAAGUUGAAACUGCAGUGUACUGGGUAUCCACUGUGUGCAGACGUAUUUGUGUGUGUGUGUGCGUGCGUGUGCGUGCGUGCGCAGACUGUAUUUAAAUACAUGUUCCCUCUUCUAGUUCUGAGGCCUAAAUGCCUCUUGUGUGUGCGUGUACAUGUAUGAGAGUUAGAUUUUAGUCUGUUUUUAUUAAGAUCUGCUGUUGGUCAUCUUCACUGAUGGCCAGUCGCAGAAAACCUCACUGUGCCUGAUCCUUCCGAGCAAAUCAUGACAUGAUGAAGGGAGCGUGACACUUGUCAGGCCCCCUCAGCCUCCCAGGAGGAGGGGAGGACUCCGUGGUGGAUGCACAUUCAGGGGGACCUGGAAUAAGCAGCAGUUUAGCACGCCAGGCCGGUGGCCUUUCCCUGUCACCUUGUCAGACGGCCAGCCUGUUAGCAGACCCAGGUGGGUCAGACCUCGGGGCCGAGGCCAGACCCGGAAGCCACCAUGGGCUGGCAUUUCCCCCCGUGCUUCACUUCCCCACCAAGAUGUGGAGAUGGCAGCAUGGCUUAAGGGUCUGCUUCUCCCAGAGCCCCAUAAACCUGCUACAGAGCUCGAAAAUGUAUUUUUUUCCUGCAUCUUCAUCCAGUCUUUCUAAAGAGGCCAUGAGGUUGUCCAGGAGAGUGUAAAUAGGCCCUGGUCCUGCUUCUCAAAACGAUGGCCCCAUGUCCCCUGCUUUGCCCCAGGGGUUAGACCACAUCACUUGGAUCAGAAAAAGGAACCUCCUCAUUGCUUGCUUUUGCAAAUAUUUUCGCCUGCUCUGUGACUUACCUUCUUACUCUCAAAAUAUCUUUCACAGAGCAGAAGCUUUACAAUUUUAACGAAGUCCAACGUUCAGUUCUUUCUUUCAUGAAGAAUUUGGUGUUGUGCCUUUGGUGUCAUGUCUAAAAAGUCAUCUUUAGGGGAACCUGUUGUGGGGGCAGCAGGUUAAGGAUCUGACAUUGUCUCUGUGGUGGAGUGGGCUCAGUCCCCAACCUGGAGCAGUGGGUUAAGGAUCUGGCAUUGCCACAGCUACGGCGUCGCUUGCAGCUGUGGCUUGGAUUCUCUCUCUAGCCCAAGAACUUCAUACGCCACGGGUAUAGCCAAAAAAUUAAAAAAAAAAA